This is an RNA transcript of Trichogramma pretiosum, 4228 nucleotides long. It is a transcript of the gene named basigin, with no coding region annotated. The transcript has 6 exons. Lineage: Eukaryota; Metazoa; Arthropoda; Insecta; Hymenoptera; Trichogrammatidae. The record is from RefSeq and is a predicted model, not a curated record.
UGAGUGACUGAGCUGCUACUGCUUCUGCUGCUGUGUGUGGAGUUGUGUAUCGCGAGCAAGACUGCGCGUACAGAAAGAGACAGAGAUAGAGCAAGAAAAUCGACGAACUGGUCUCGUCGUUUUAUUAACUUCUUUAUCUCGACUUUAACAAAAUCGUCGUCGUCGACGUCGUUUUGAAGCGUCGCUGUGCUGUGCGCGUAAGUGUGGGUGCGUCUUCGCUUGAUGGUGCCACUCAGUGCUCGAAAUCAUUAUCGACUAAUAAGCGAGAGUGCAGCAUCGACAGAGACCGUAUAGGCAGAUAAGACGACGCCACAUCGUGUAUUAGACAGCAGCAGGCGCGCGUGACAAAUUUUACAUAUACCAAGUCACACACACACACACACACACACACACACUUGUGUAUAUAAAUAUCAUUCGCGCGAACGCACACACGCACGCGACUGACUCUGUCGGAGCAGUCUAAGAAGUUUUCUGCUGCUGCUACGGCUACUGCUGACGCUGCCUAUAUACUGCCUGAUCGAAAUACUACUACCGCGGGAGAAAUAUAUUCAUCUCGGCAGUUUUAGCUUAUAUAUUCCACUGCUCGAAAUAUAGAAGCUAGUAGGUAACGCACAUCGAUCGAGCUCGCGCGACUCAUCUGCGUGUGAGUGUGUAACGUGCCUCUGUGCAGUCUCUCUGUGUGCGUGUGUGUUGCUAAACUCGCUCGUCCGUGUGUGUAUACACACACAUGCACGACACUCGCAAAGCAAAGUGAGGAAUACAGAAAUUAGCCACCGUGUGUAAGUGCUAAAGUUGAGAGCUGUAUAGAUGAAAAUCGCGACUGUGCGGGCGGACUUUUGAGGUUAGAAAGGGGCAGGUCCAACGCUUUUAUACCGAGACUGGUGAAUAAUUCGCGCGACAGCCAGUUCGGACUAUACGACAAAAACACAAUCGAUUCAACAAUUGAUUUACAAACUACUUGUGUGUACCGUAUAAAUAGCUGAGAAACGGAGAAGUAAAUAUGGAACGCUCGAGUCGAUUCGCAAUCCUCGGUCUGCUAUUUAUAGCAUGUACCAUUGGUGAGGUGCUAUCAGUGGAUUACACAGGUGAAACUCACGUUCGCGUUAAGCAGCAUUGGGAGAUAACCUGCAGCAAAGUUAAGGAUCCGAGCAGCAUCUGGUGGAAGCGCAAUGGCAUGACAUUGGGACAAGAAGAAUAUUCCACAGGGAAGAUCAAUGUGAAACCGCCAGUCGAGAAUGUCGCCGACAAAACGUGGUCCAGUACACUGAUUGCACAGGAAGCAACGGAGGGUCACGAGGGAGCUUACACGUGCAGCGACGAAGGCAACGAAACUCACCAUCUCACACUUAUCAAUGAUAUCUCGUUCAGAGUCUUACCCAAGAACGAAACCAACAAAGUCGAGCUUAAAUGUCCAGGAAGCGGAAGAGACGGCCAGUGGAGCCAAAAUGACAAGCCUUUGGAAACAAGCAGCAAUAUCGAAAUCAAAAAUGACGGUAGCACCGUGAUCGUCUCGUUCGACGCCAAAGACGAACAAAUCUACGGCAACUACACGUGCAAAGUCGGAAAUGAAACUGCCAAUUACCGCGUUGUUCGACAACCCAUUGUAUCCAUGCAAGAAUCGACCAAUGUAAUCGAAGGUGACAAGCUUCAUUUGACUUGCAUUGUUAAGACCGGCGAUCCAGGCAUGAAAAUCAAAUGGGAAUUUAACAAAGAGAUUUAUACCGGCAACAAGAACCGCGUAAAAUUGUCGAAAGAUGAGGAACACGGUUACUCCAACGCCGUAUUCAGUCUCGACGAAGUCAAGCAAGAAGAUCGUGGCAACGUUACCUGCAUCGCUUAUUACAGCGGCGAGGAAUCCGAUCCGAUGCACAUAGACACGGCCGUUACCUACCUGAGGGUCAAAGACAAAUUCGCCGCUUUCUGGCCGUUCCUUGGCAUUUGCGCCGAGGUAAUCGUGCUCUGCAUCAUCAUCCUCGUUUACGAGAAGAAACGCAACAAGUCCGAGCUCGAAGAGUCCGACACUGACCAGAGUCCCGAUACUUCAAGAACCGAUCAGAAGUAGACUUCGUCGCACCGGGGCGUAAUACGGGACUGAUCUAAGAAACCAUAUCAAGUACUAAUAAGCCAUCAGCAAAUAAAGACUCAGACAUAAGGCACCGAAAGUAAAGCCUCUACGAUCAGCAAUAAAGCCCAAGAAAAGUACAGAGAGGAGGAAAAGCAGUGUGGCGCACGCGUGAGAAAUAAUUUUUUUUAAGAAGCAAAAGCUGGAGUGGCGUUAGUCUUUUCUGUCACUUGAAAGGGAAAAUAAAAAUAUUCAAGAAGGGAGAAAGAGAUAAAGUAAGAGUCGGGAAAAAAAGAAACAACAAUAACAUCAUCAACUUACUCAAGUAAAAUGCAUUAUCGUGCAUAAUAAAAAAUAUACACAUUACUUAACUGAGCUAAUGGAGAAGAAGAAAAGGGAAAAAAAGACACCAGUAAAAUUGCUACUACUACUAUUGAUACUACUACUGCUCGCUGCUGUGCAUGCGAGUGAGAAUACAAAUAUAUAAAUAUAUUAGAAGCUUUCGUUUUAUCACUUUCAGUACUCUUACAUUGAAAUGCAUUGCAUAUAACUUGUACAUCAAUGAAAAUAAUUUUCCAAUGAAAAAAUUUCUCCUACAUAUAGAUGUAUAAAAUAAUAAAAAAUAUACUCAUGUGAAAAAAAAAGAAACACACUCAGGUUUUUUCUUCCGAUUCCGCUUGAUUGUGUACUAUAGCCGUGUAUGAUCAAUAAACGUGGACGAACUACAUCAGCCGUGGCGUUCAAGCAUAAAAAAAUACUGAAUGUAAAGCUAUUAUUAUUAAUAUUAUUAUAAUUUUUAAGAUUAUUAUUACUAUUAUUAUUAUAUAUGUAAUAUGUAAUUGUUAUGACUUUUAAUAAAAAAUAUAGGAAAUACGACGAAAUGAAGUACUGCACUGAUGAUAAUAAUCAUGUUAAUAUGAAAUUUAUUCUACUGUAUAUGGACAGAAGUACUAAGAGCAAAAAUAAGGAAAAUGGACUUUUGGAAAAUGUCAUUUUAUGUUCCUUACUAUUUAUCGGAUGCUCUAAGUACGUACAACGACUUCUCGGUAACUCACCUCUAUUUAAAGCUUUUUCUACUUGUGCCUUACCCGUAUAUUAGUACCAUGAUCUUAUUUUGCUAGUCAAAAACUAGGUGUAGAUUUAUAGAAGAAAAAAAUUAUGGAAUUUCCCUUACAUGUAAUUUUUAUCACUUCUAUAUACUCCAAUCAAUCAUCAGUUUCGAUUUUUAGUGGGUAAUAAUGAAGAUUCACCUGAACAAAGUGUCAUAUGUACGUAAAGUUAAAUGCAUCAAGCUUAAUUCCUAGAAUCGUGGAGUAUUUUUAAUGAGAAUUGAUACCAAACAAAUACUUUAUUGAUCUCUGGGAACUCGUAAAUAAAAAUUUUAAAUUUAUUCAUUAAUUUGUCAAAUGGCUUGAUUCAAAACUUUGAUUUGAUUUAUAAUGACUCGGUUCUUUUUUGGUAUUUACACAUUAAUUCUAAGACCGUGAAUGACAAAAAAAGUUUUCAAUUUUAAGCAUCAACUUUUGCUUUGUCACAUGUUAAAAUCUUUGGAAAUUCAAUAUAAAUUUUGACUAAGUUUUCUUGACAUUUCUCAAAGUAUUUCUGUCCGUAAAACUUUUAACAAGUUUGAGUGAAAUGAUAGAAGAAUCGCCUGAAAAUGCGUAUUCGAUCUUUGCAAAUGGAAUUAAAUGAUAUAGAAAAAUAAAAAAGACGUUAUAAAAUUUCAAAGAAGACGAUUUUUCUUUUUUAUUUGCUCACAGCUACUAUUGUAAUUAAUGAGUUAAUAAAUUAUUCUAAUAAAAUAUUGCAUUGUAAGAGAUGGGAUAAGUUUCCCUUUUAUGUGGUCCAGUAGCACAUAGGCGUUAUCAUUAUCAAACGAUCGUAACGAAUUUCAACUGGAUCUUUAUAGUUUUUAGGUCGUGCUUUUUAGACAACCGUGAACGUCUGUCGCUUUAGCUGUAUUUUAUUCUUCAUCCGUUGUUAUUUUUGUGUUCUUUUUUUAGAAGCCGAUACAGUACUUGUAAAACUAUGCGAUAUUUUACAUUUUAUGAAUUCUCCACAAUGUAUUAAUUGUACCGUUGUGUUAUGAUAAUUUUUUCCAUCUCAUGUUUGUUUUUAUGAAAGGAACAUUGUAAUUUGUUAAAAUAAAUGGAUAUCUUAUACGAA